Cinara cedri is the source of this 722-nucleotide non-coding RNA. The record is from the annotation of a GenBank genome assembly. NCBI's taxonomy places the organism in Eukaryota, Metazoa, Arthropoda, Insecta, Hemiptera, Aphididae.
GCCAACAAAUCGCACCGGCGCGGCCGCGGCCGUACACGCCGCGCGACCGAUGCACGAGACCGAUUUCCGCCGUUUUAUUAUGUGUACCGCGCGCCAACGAUAUUAUAAUAUCGUGUGCUGGGUACCGUACGCCGGCGUCUUUCUUCUCACUCGCUCGCUCUCUCUCUCUCUCUCUCUCUCUCUCUCUCUCACUCCGUCCGACCCGCUGUACCACUGUCCGUCUCUAUCUGUCCGCGCGGUUUGUCUUCGCGUACGCCGCCGCCGCACUACUAUACGCGUGUACAUUUAUACCGUAUACGUAUAGUAAUAAUAAUAAUAAUAAUAAUAAUAAUAUAUACCGCGGCAGUGUUCACUAUCCGAUAUCGCCGAAGGUGUUGCGCACGCCGUACACGCGGGCAGAGCGUACCGAUAAAAAAAAAAAAAAUAAAAAAUAUCGCAUAGGUAGGUAUACGUAUUUGUGUGUACGGCGCGGACGGGAAAAAAAAAAAACGAGACGAUAAAAAUAAAAAAAAAAAAUCCAAAACGCUCACGACCUUAUAACUCACGGAGAUAACGACGCGCGGCAACGAACGGCCGACGCUAUUAGAAAAGGGAAAAAAUUAAAAAAAUAAAAAAAAAAAACCCGCGCGUAUAAUACCGGCUUUCACACCUCCGUGGGCCACGCCCGCGCGACCGGCGAACGCAACAAAUUACCCGGCCGCGGCGCACACACAAUAAUAUCG